AUUGAACGCUGGCGGCAGGCCUAACACAUGCAAGUCGAGCGAGCGGCGGACGGGUGAGUAAUGUAUGGGGACUGCCCGAUAGAGGGGGAUAACUACUGGAAACGGUGGCUAAUACCGCAUACUAUCGGAUAACCCAUAUGGGAUUAGCUAGUAGGUGGGGUAAAGGCUCACCUAGGCGACGAUCUCUAGCUGGUCUGAGAGGAUGAGCAGCGACACUGGGACUGAGACACGGGCCAGACUCCUACGGAGGGAGCAGUGGGGAAUAUUGCGCAAUGGGCGCAAGGCUGAUGCAGCCAUGCCGCGUGUAUGAAGAAGGCCUUAGGGUUGUAAAGUACUUUCACCGGGGACGCGGUACCCGGAGAAGAAGCCCCGGCUAACUUCGUGCCAGCAGCCGCGGUAAUUC
This 403-nucleotide ribosomal RNA is filed under the name uncultured bacterium. Its description in RNAcentral is "partial 16S ribosomal RNA". It matches the Rfam family "Bacterial small subunit ribosomal RNA", at positions 30 to 526 of the family's 1533-position model. The record is from RNAcentral.